Molecule: ribosomal RNA, 247 nt
Filed under: uncultured bacterium
Lineage: Bacteria
Description: partial 16S ribosomal RNA
Rfam family: Bacterial small subunit ribosomal RNA
Source: RNAcentral
AUACGGAGGGUGCAAGCGUUGUUCGGAAUUAUUGGGCGUAAAGCGCGUGUAGGCGGCCUUCUAAGUGAGUUGUGAAAGCGACUGGCUCAACCGGUCGAGGCCGACCCAGACUGGGAAGCUAGAGGGCGGUAGAGGGGUGUGGAAUUCCGGGUGUAGUGGUGAAAUGCGUAGAGAUCCGGAGGAACACCAGAGGCGAAGGCGACACUCUAGGCCGCACCUGACGCUGAGACGCGACAGCACGGGGAGC